This 76-nucleotide transfer RNA is filed under the name Ectothiorhodospiraceae bacterium. RNAcentral's name for it is "tRNA-Thr". It matches the Rfam family "tRNA". Rfam says of the family: Transfer RNA (tRNA) molecules are approximately 80 nucleotides in length. Their secondary structure includes four short double-helical elements and three loops (D, anti-codon, and T loops). Lineage: Bacteria; Pseudomonadati; Pseudomonadota; Gammaproteobacteria; Chromatiales; Ectothiorhodospiraceae. The record is from RNAcentral.
GCCGGCUUAGCUCAGUUGGUAGAGCAGUUGAUUUGUAAUCAUCAGGUCGGGGGUUCGAGUCCCCCAGCCGGCUCCA